RNAcentral lists this small RNA (250 nucleotides) under Pongo abelii (Sumatran orangutan). The stretch from base 1 to 117 matches the Rfam family "Metazoan signal recognition particle RNA". Lineage: Eukaryota; Metazoa; Chordata; Mammalia; Primates; Hominidae. The record is from RNAcentral.
GCAGGGCAUGGUAGCCCAUGCCUGUAAUCCCAACACUUUGGGAGGCUGAGGUGGGUGGAUCACCUGAGGUUAGGAGUUCGAGACCAGCCUGGCCAACAUGGUGAAACCCCAUCUCUACUAAAAAUACAAAAAUUAGGUCAGGCGCGGUGGCUCACGCCUGUAAUCCCAGCACUUUGGGAGGCUGAGGCGGGUGGAGCAUGAGGUCAAGAGAUCGAGACCAUCCUGGCCAACAUGGUGAAACUCCAUCCCU